RNAcentral lists this ribosomal RNA (458 nucleotides) under uncultured bacterium. RNAcentral's name for it is "partial 16S ribosomal RNA". It matches the Rfam family "Bacterial small subunit ribosomal RNA", at positions 338 to 795 of the family's 1533-position model. The record is from RNAcentral.
CCUACGGGUGGCAGCAGUGAGGAAUAUUGGUCAAUGGGCGAGAGCCUGAACCAGCCAAGUCGCGUGAGGGAGUACUGCCCUAUGGGUUGUAAACCUCUUUUGUCGGGGAGCAAAAGCCGGACGUGUCCGGCUGUGAGAGUACCCGAAGAAAAAGCAUCGGCUAACUCCGUGCCAGCAGCCGCGGUAAUACGGAGGAUGCGAGCGUUAUCCGGAUUUAUUGGGUUUAAAGGGUGCGCAGGCGGAUUUUUAAGUCAGCGGUAAAAUCGUGGGGCUCAACCCCAUCCAGCCGUUGAAACUGGUGAUCUAGAGAGUGCGAGAGGUAUGCGGAAUGCGUGGUGUAGCGGUGAAAUGCAUAGAUAUCACGCAGAACCCCGAUUGCGAAGGCAGCAUACCGGUGCACAACUGACGCUCAGGCACGAAAGCGUGGGUAUCGAACAGGAUUAGAUACCCUUGUAGUC